RNAcentral lists this small RNA (485 nucleotides) under uncultured Microcystis sp. Its description in RNAcentral is "bacterial LSU rRNA". The stretch from base 1 to 100 matches the Rfam family "Bacterial small subunit ribosomal RNA", at positions 1434 to 1533 of the family's 1533-position model. The record is from RNAcentral. Lineage: Bacteria; Bacillati; Cyanobacteriota; Cyanophyceae; Chroococcales; Microcystaceae.
CUCAACCGUAAGGAGGGGGAUGCCUAAGGCAGGGCUAGUGACUGGGGUGAAGUCGUAACAAGGUAGCCGUACCGGAAGGUGUGGCUGGAUCACCUCCUUAAAGGGAGACCUAAUUCCGGUAGGAGACGAAAAAAAAGUAGUCCCAACCGAGAAUCAAUCCCAAAAGGUCGGAGCGAGGCGAAAUUGGCUUUCAAACUAGGUUCUGGGUUCACACAAGACCUGAAUCAGGAACAAGGGCUAUUAGCUCAGGUGGUUAGAGCGCACCCCUGAUAAGGGUGAGGUCCCUGGUUCGAGUCCAGGAUGGCCCACCUGCACAGGUGGCAAAAACAAAAGAAGCGAGGAAUCAGCACCUUAUCUUACUUAUAUAGUAAGAGAGAAUGCUGGCUCUGAGUACAGAGUCCAGAGGAACCUUGAAAACUGCAUAGAGCUAGGUGAAAAAGCCAAAAAAGAAGACCGCAAGGUCAAGCUAAUAAGGGCUAACGGUG